AGGGCCUCUCAUGUAUGUCUGGCUGGUGAGGAACUCUCUGUCCCAUCAAAGAUGGCCUGGAGUUGUUGUUUCUCCUGUCUCCACUUCCAAACUAAUGGGAUUAAAGCUGUGGGCACUACAUAUGACUUGACUUCUAAACAACUGCUUAUUUAUACCAAGACACUCUGCACAAACUAUUGCUAUACACUUAAAUAAGCGCAUAUGGGAAAUGACCAAAGAAAGCUAAGUUAGUUGACUUUUAUUUUUAUUUAUUUAUUUAUUUAUUUAUUCAUUUAUUCAUUUAGAUUUUUUUUUUGGUUUUUUGAGAUAGGGUUUCUCUGUAUAGCUCUGGCUGUCCUGGAACUCACUUUGUAGACUAGGCUGGCCUCGAACUCAGAAAUCUGCCUGCCUCUGCCUCCCGAGUGCUGGGAUUAAAAGCAUGGGCCACCAUGCCCGGCUUUUUUUUUUUUUUUUUUUUUUUUUAAUUGUCAACCAGACACAACCUAGAGUCACCAGAAAAUUAGGAACUUCAAGUAAAGAACUGCCCAGAUGGGCUUGGCUGAUGGCAGCUGUGAGAGAAUGACCCAUUGGAGAUGGCAUGAGGACCCAGCCCACUGCAGGCUGGAGUCAGCACCAACAGGCCAACAGGGUUGUUGUUGUUUCAGCUCUGGGCCCGACUUCUCUCCGUGAUAGACUGUUUAUUACCUGCAAGUGUAAGCCUGAAAUAAACUCUUUCUUAUCCAAGCUGCUUCUGGUCAGAGUAUUUUCUCACAGCAAAAGGACCGGUGAAAUUGUCACUAGGGCCAUGAAUUCGAAACCGCUCUUCUUUCCUUACCCAGCGCUGAAGUGAACCAAAGCAGCAGAGGCAGUUAACACGGCCACGCCAGAACCCUGGGCUUGUGAACACUAGUCCACGAGCCAGGACCCAUACCUUCCUCACUGUGUCGGGGCACCCUGGCACUUCUUAUGCCAGCUUGAGUACAAGUCAGAUUUCAUCAUCACUAACCUUAAGAUCUCGGACAAGCUAGAUCUUUUGAGUCUGAAUUUAUUCAGUAAAAUAGUAAUAACCAUUUCGAAAAGUAAAUUAGAAGCGGAGUAGGCUUAUAGAAAGGCACAGCAAGGUGUCCUGUAACAUCGGUUCCCUUUGCCACGGAUCCUCUGGGAGCCUCUCAGGGCUCCGUGAAAGAAACAUGCCAGGCAGCGUAUUAUCUGAUUUCCCUUACCUAAUCUAAGAGGACAGCCAACUGCUUACACAGGUCCGCCAUGCCAAGCAAUGUAGGAAAGGUCAAGAAGCCGUCCGAAAUGGUAGCACUCUAUUCAUCUCCCCAAAUCCUUGUGUCCUAAUAUCGGGUGGCCUGACGGUCUUCACGGCUUUAAGGUCUGCAAAGGCAAUCUGAUAAACCUUGCUGUUGUUCCAGGUCCGACUCUUGGCCUGCAGGUGGAACAAUCUCCCACAGCACCCUAUUUGGUCCUGAUGAGGGCAGCAUGCCAGGGGACCGCAGGCAAAGCCAGGCGGCUUUCACCAGAUCUCCAGGAGCGCAAAGCCUAGGGGGCGUUUCCGAGCGCGGGGGCGGGCACAGCCGGUACCGCCCCCGCCACCUUCAGGGUGGUGCUUGGGUGCUGAUCUUAAACUUCGGCAAAGUUUGCAACGGGUCUCAAGCACGUGCGGCUUCCCCGCCCGGCUCCGCGUUCCCCGAGCCGCCCCCGGUCACCUGCGCGCGGUUGGUCUCUGUCGUUUCCCCAGCGGCCGUCCCCCUGCGCUCUCACGCGACACGCUUCUCCCAGGCUCGAGGAGGCGGCGGCGACAGCGCGUAGCGGGCGCCCCGAGGAGCCCCGAGAGGCGGGGUCAGGGCGGGCCGGCGCUUGGUUCCCGGAAGCCGCUGCUUGCCUGCGAGGCUCCGGCCGAGGCCGGAGCUCGAGCAUCCUCACCCGCGCUUCCCGGAGCCGCCGCCCGGCCGCGCGCACCGCGGGCGAGAUGCUGCCGGUGCACACCGAGGUGAAACCCAACCCGCUGCAGGACGCCAACCUCUGCUCGCGCGUGUUCUUCUGGUGGCUCAACCCGCUGUUUAAAACUGGUCAUAAGCGGAGACUGGAAGAAGAUGACAUGUUCUCAGUGCUUCCAGAAGAUCGCUCAAAGCACCUCGGAGAGGAGCUUCAACGGUACUGGGAUAAAGAACUUCUGCGAGCCAAGAAGGACUCGAGGAAGCCCUCCUUAACAAAGGCAAUCAUAAAGUGUUACUGGAAGUCUUACCUGAUUUUGGGAAUUUUUACGUUAAUUGAGGAGGGCACUCGAGUAGUUCAGCCCUUAUUUUUAGGGAAAAUUAUUGAAUAUUUUGAGAAGUAUGACCCCGACGACUCGGUGGCUUUGCAUACAGCUUAUGGCUACGCAGCAGUGCUGUCCAUGUGCACGCUCAUCCUGGCCAUACUACAUCAUUUGUACUUCUACCACGUGCAGUGCGCCGGGAUGAGGCUGCGGGUUGCCAUGUGCCACAUGAUUUACCGGAAGGCACUCCGGUUAAGUAACUCGGCCAUGGGGAAGACAACCACAGGCCAGAUAGUUAACCUGCUGUCCAACGACGUGAACAAAUUCGACCAAGUGACAAUCUUCUUGCACUUUCUGUGGGCAGGGCCGCUGCAGGCCAUCGCGGUAACCGUCCUCCUCUGGGUGGAGAUAGGAAUCUCCUGCCUGGCGGGCUUGGCCGUUCUGGUUAUUCUUCUGCCUCUGCAAAGCUGCAUCGGGAAGCUGUUCUCGUCACUGCGGAGUAAAACUGCGGCUUUCACGGAUGCCAGGAUCCGGACCAUGAAUGAAGUCAUAACAGGCAUGAGGAUAAUAAAGAUGUAUGCGUGGGAGAAAUCGUUUGCUGACCUCAUUGCCAAUCUGAGAAAGAAGGAGAUUUCCAAGAUUCUGGGCAGCUCCUACCUCAGAGGGAUGAACAUGGCGUCGUUUUUCAUCGCAAACAAAGUCAUCCUGUUCGUGACCUUCACUAGCUACGUGCUGCUUGGCAAUGAGAUUACAGCUAGCCACGUGUUUGUGGCCAUGACUCUGUACGGUGCCGUUCGGUUGACAGUCACCCUCUUCUUCCCGUCAGCCAUUGAGAGAGGGUCAGAGGCCAUCGUCAGCAUUCGGAGGAUCAAGAACUUUCUGUUACUCGAUGAACUACCACAGCGCAAAGCCCAUGUACCAUCUGAUGGCAAAGCCAUUGUCCACGUGCAAGAUUUCACCGCUUUCUGGGACAAGGCACUAGACAGUCCAACCCUGCAAGGUCUUUCCUUUAUUGCCAGGCCUGGUGAGUUGUUAGCCGUGGUUGGCCCAGUUGGAGCAGGCAAGUCGUCGCUGUUGAGCGCAGUGCUGGGUGAGCUGCCUCCUGCCAGCGGGCUGGUCAGCGUGCACGGGAGGAUCGCCUACGUUUCUCAGCAGCCCUGGGUGUUCUCGGGCACCGUGAGGAGCAAUAUUUUAUUUGGGAAGAAAUAUGAGAAGGAGCGAUAUGAGAAAGUGAUCAAGGCCUGUGCUCUGAAGAAGGACCUGCAGCUUCUGGAGGACGGGGAUCUGACGGUUAUAGGAGACCGGGGAGCCACGCUGAGUGGAGGCCAGAAAGCUCGGGUGAACCUGGCACGGGCCGUCUACCAGGACGCCGACAUCUACCUCCUUGAUGAUCCGCUCAGCGCUGUCGAUGCAGAAGUGGGCAAGCACCUGUUCCAACUGUGUAUCUGUCAGGCGUUGCACGAGAAGAUCACCAUUUUAGUGACUCACCAGUUACAGUACCUCAAAGCUGCAAGCCACAUCCUCAUACUCAAAGAUGGUGAGAUGGUGCAGAAGGGGACUUACACGGAGUUUCUGAAAUCUGGUGUAGAUUUUGGCUCCCUGUUAAAGAAAGAAAACGAGGAAGCAGAGCCCUCCACAGCCCCAGGAACCCCGACACUCAGGAAACGAACCUUCUCCGAGGCCUCAAUUUGGUCUCAGCAGUCAUCCAGACCCUCGUUGAAAGACGGGGCCCCAGAGGGCCAAGACGCAGAGAACACGCAGGCAGUGCAACCCGAGGAGAGCCGUUCGGAAGGGAGAAUCGGCUUCAAGGCCUACAAGAAUUACUUCUCGGCGGGCGCAUCCUGGUUCUUCAUCAUUUUCCUUGUGCUGCUUAACAUGGUGGGCCAGGUUUUCUAUGUUCUUCAGGACUGGUGGCUUUCCCACUGGGCGAACAAGCAAGGUGCACUGAACAACACCAGAAAUGCGAAUGGAAAUAUAACGGAGACCCUAGACCUCAGCUGGUACUUAGGAAUUUACGCAGGUCUAACUGCGGUCACCGUCCUUUUUGGCAUAGCGAGAUCCCUACUGGUGUUCUAUAUCCUUGUGAACGCUUCCCAGACUUUGCACAACAGGAUGUUUGAGUCCAUACUGAAGGCUCCCGUGUUGUUCUUCGACAGAAAUCCAAUCGGGAGGAUUUUAAAUCGUUUCUCCAAAGACAUCGGACACAUGGAUGAUUUGCUUCCCCUGACGUUCCUGGACUUCAUCCAGAGCUCGUUGCUGAGGAGGGUCUGUCUCUGUGCUGCUCCAGACGUUGCUCCUCGUCGUAAGUGUGAUCGCUGUGGCCGCGGCCGUGAUCCCUUGGAUCCUCAUACCAUUGGUUCCGCUCUCAGUCGUCUUCCUGGUUCUUCGGAGAUACUUCUUAGAGACGUCACGGGAUGUCAAGCGCCUGGAAUCCACAACACGGAGCCCGGUAUUCUCCCAUUUAUCGUCCUCCCUCCAGGGACUCUGGACCAUCCGGGCUUACAAAGCUGAGGAGAGGUGUCAGGAGCUGUUUGAUGCACACCAGGACUUGCAUUCAGAGGCUUGGUUCUUGUUCCUGACGACAUCGAGAUGGUUCGCUGUGCGUCUGGACGCCAUCUGCGCCAUCUUUGUAAUCGUCGUUGCCUUCGGGUCCCUUGUUCUGGCGAAGACUUUGAAUGCUGGGCAGGUUGGCCUGGCCUUGUCCUACGCCCUCACACUCAUGGGGAUGUUCCAGUGGUCUGUGCGACAGAGCGCCGAAGUAGAGAAUAUGAUGAUUUCAGUGGAGAGAGUGAUUGAGUACACGGACCUAGAGAAGGAGGCGCCUUGGGAGUGCAAGAAGCGCCCACCCCCAGGCUGGCCCCACGAGGGAGUCAUCGUCUUCGACAAUGUGAACUUCACCUACAGCUUAGAUGGGCCUCUGGUUCUGAAGCACCUGACUGCGCUCAUCAAGUCCAGGGAAAAGGUUGGAAUUGUGGGCAGAACCGGAGCUGGGAAAAGCUCCCUCAUCUCGGCCCUCUUCAGGCUGUCAGAACCCGAGGGGAAAAUCUGGAUCGAUAAGAUCUUGACAACCGAAAUUGGGCUUCACGACUUAAGGAAGAAAAUGUCAAUCAUACCACAGGAACCUGUUCUGUUCACUGGAACCAUGAGGAAAAACCUGGACCCCUUCAAUGAGCACACGGACGAGGAGCUGUGGAGGGCCUUGGAGGAGGUACAACUUAAAGAGGCCAUUGAAGAUCUUCCUGGAAAAAUGGAUACUGAAUUAGCAGAAUCUGGAUCCAAUUUCAGUGUUGGACAGAGACAGUUAGUGUGCCUUGCAAGGGCCAUUCUAAAGAAUAACCGAAUACUGAUCAUUGAUGAAGCAACUGCAAAUGUGGACCCAAGAACGGAUGAGUUAAUACAACAGAAGAUCCGGGAGAAGUUUGCCCAGUGCACAGUGCUCACCAUUGCUCACAGACUGAACACCAUCAUUGACAGUGACAAGAUAAUGGUUUUGGAUUCAGGAAGACUGAAAGAAUAUGAUGAGCCGUAUGUCUUGCUGCAGAAUCCAGAGAGCCUCUUUUACAAGAUGGUUCAGCAACUGGGCAAGGGCGAAGCCGCUGCCCUCACCGAAACAGCAAAACAGGUAUACUUCAGACGGAAUUACCCAGAUAUUACAUUCACCAGCCCCGCGGUUAUGAACACCUCCAAUGGACAGCCCUCGGCCUUAACAAUAUUUGAAACAGCAUUGUGACCACCAGGACAUCAUCGUAAAGUCUGUCUUGAAGGUGUUCCCCACCCCGCCCAGGGGCUUGCACUUGGAGGACUACAGCACACCUGGUUUCCUUUCUUUCUGCCACAGAUCCUUCACAGACGAGAGACUGUUGUCUUUGGAUUUUUCCCUCCGACUUUACUCUGUGAUUUCAGGUUCUAACAACAUGGCCUGUCGUUUUAUUUUAAAAGUUCCUGCUGUUCUUUACAAAUCCAGUUCUGAGGUGCAGGCCACCAACAGCAGCGUCUACCAGGUUUUGUGCCUUAACAGUCUCAAGGGCUGAAGCCCAUUCAUUUUAUAAGCUGUCACCAUGGGCUGCUGCUUCCUCUUGCCUUAAAAGUACACUCUCCAGGUGUGUCAGGGACUCUGUUUACUUGAAGACUGUGUGCAGUUGCCAGUUCGUCUCCCUGCUGUCUUUGAGCUAGGACUCAUAAUUUCCCUACAAAGGUCUCUGGUUAAAAUAGAAUAGGUAGAAUUAACAAGAACCACAACAACAACCCCCCCAAAAAAUAAUCCAUAUAAUUUAAGUAUAUUGCUGGAGAGAGACUAUCCCACCACCUAUACAUCUACAAAGAUAUAUGUCUAAAGUUGGAAAAUCAACUUCUGCUUUCUCAGAAUGGGAGACCGAGCGCAGGUUAGGCACCCCUCCCCCUUGCAUCUGUGAGUCCCUCUGGGCGGCUCGUGUACUGAUCGGAUCUGUGAGUCCCUCUGGGCGGCUCGUGUACUGAUCGGAUCGGCACCAUGACACUUCCCCUAGACUGUGACUCCCAAAUGCAUAAUAUUAAUCUCAUUUGGCUUCUGGUUUACAGAAGGUAAAGCUCCUAUUGGCUGUGAGCCGUUGGUGAAAUCCUUUCACAUCGACACCAAAAGCUCUCCCCAGCUAGUGAAAACCUGAACAUCGUUAGAGUCACCGACUUUACAUGCUCAGAAUGCUGUGCACAAGCCACGCUUUCUAAAGCCCAUCCAGAUUAGUUUAGCUCUGACCACUAAUGGCAGGUCUUAAGGACCUUGUGAUUAGUCAAUCAACAAACCACAACACUUCCUAGGACCUGUUGUACUCCGUGUAACUAUAGGUCUGAAUAUUUUCUGGGUGGUGGUGGCAAGGGUCUAUGUCAGGGUUCAAGUUACUAAAGGUUUUACUGUCAUAAUUUAAAGGGGACUCUUCACGACCCGUCACAAUAAACCAUUCUCAAGUUAUCUAUGUGUGUGUGUAUAUAUAUCUCAGGUUUUUAGACUGGUUGACAGAACAAAGCCUGUUUUAACAGUGGAACCUUAAAGAGCACACCUACACCAAACCACCAAAACCACGCCGAGCACAGUGACUGUUUGACUCUUGGUAUUCAGAAGUCUGUAAUGAAUGUAAUUAUGUUUAGGCCAGUAAAUGAUGUAGAUUCGUCCUUUAUUGGUAGUCGCAGUUGAUAUUUCAAGAGAGUGAGAUGCCAUGCUGACAAUAUUAAGAUCUAUUUGAAUAUUUAGAAAUGUCUUACUGUAUAUAUGUUUAUGUUUAUUUGGUCCUUAGAGAUUAAAAGCGGUCAUACAAGUA
Molecule: RNA transcript, 7533 nt
Organism: Mus musculus (house mouse)
Lineage: Eukaryota; Metazoa; Chordata; Mammalia; Rodentia; Muridae
Gene: Abcc4
Gene name: ATP-binding cassette, sub-family C member 4
Exons: 31
Source: RefSeq, marked validated